GACUAAGCCAUGCGAGUCCAGAGUGGUAAUGCACUCGGCAAACGGCUCAGUAACACGUGGGUAAUCUGCCCUCAGGACAGGGAUAACCCCGGAAAACUGGGGAUAAUAUCUGAUAGGUGGAGAAGUCUGGAACGACUCUCCGCUCAAAUGCUCCGGCGCCUGAGGAUGAGCCUGCGACCGAUUAGGUUGUUGGCGGUGUAACGGACCACCAAGCCUGAGAUCGGUACGGGUGUUGAGAGACAGAGCCCGGAGAUGGGGACUGAGACACGGCCCCAGGCCCUACGGGGCGCAGCAGGCGCGAAAACUCCGCAAUACACGAAAGUGUGACGGGGGAACCCCAAGUGCGCUCACGCAAGUGAGUGCUUUUGUGAAGUGUAAAUAGCUUCGCGAAUAAAAGCGGGGUAAGACCGGUGCCAGCCGCCGCGGUAACACCGGCCGCUUGAGUGGUGAUCACUAUUAUUGGGCCUAAAGCGUCCGUAGCCGGUCUGGUAAGUCCUUGGGCAAAUCCUGUCGCUUAACGAUAGGAAUUCUGAGGAUACUGUCAGACUUGAGGUCGAGAGAGGUCGGAGGUACUUCUGGGGUAGCGGUGAAAUGCUAUAAUCCUAGAGGGACCACCAGUGGCGAAAGCGUCCGACCAGAGCGAGCCUGACGGUAAGGGACGAAAGCCAGGGGAGCGAACGGGAUUAGAUACCCCGGUAGUCCUGGCCGUAAACGCUGUGGGCUAGGUGUUGCAUGCUCUACGAGGGCAAGCAGUGCCGAAGAGAAGUUGAUAAGCCUACCGCCUGGGAAGUACUAUCGCAAGAUAGAAACUUAAAGGAAUUGGCGGGGGAGCACAAGG
RNAcentral lists this ribosomal RNA (838 nucleotides) under uncultured archaeon. RNAcentral's name for it is "bacterial SSU rRNA". It matches the Rfam family "Archaeal small subunit ribosomal RNA", at positions 42 to 883 of the family's 1478-position model. The record is from RNAcentral.